GUGGUUGUGGUUCAGUGGUAGAGCACUUGCUUAACAUGCGUGAGUCACUGGGUUCGAUACCCAGAACCACA
This 71-nucleotide transfer RNA is filed under the name Ictidomys tridecemlineatus (thirteen-lined ground squirrel). RNAcentral describes it as "Spermophilus tridecemlineatus (thirteen-lined ground squirrel) tRNA". It matches the Rfam family "tRNA". From Rfam's summary of the family: Transfer RNA (tRNA) molecules are approximately 80 nucleotides in length. The record is from Rfam by way of RNAcentral. Lineage: Eukaryota; Metazoa; Chordata; Mammalia; Rodentia; Sciuridae.